Molecule: transfer RNA, 78 nt
Filed under: bacterium
Lineage: Bacteria
Description: tRNA-Ala
Rfam family: tRNA
About the family: Transfer RNA (tRNA) molecules are approximately 80 nucleotides in length.
Source: RNAcentral
GGGGAAUUAGCUCAGUUGGCUUAGAGCACCACGCUUGCACCGUGGGGGUCGCGGGUUCGAGUCCCACAUUCUCCACCA